GACGAACGCUGGCGGCGUGCUUAACACAUGCAAGUCGAACGGUGACCCAUCUUCGGAUGGUGAUCAGUGGCGAACGGGUGAGUAACACGUGGGCAACCUGCCCCUAGCUCUGGGAUAACUCCUCGAAAGAGGUGCUAAUACCGGAUAUCACCACCCUGGACAUCCAGGGUGGUUGAAAGUUUUUCGGCUAGGGAUGGGCCCGCGGCCUAUCAGCUUGUUGGUGGGGUAAUGGCCUACCAAGGCGACGACGGGUAGCCGGCCUGAGAGGGCGACCGGCCACAGUGGGACUGGGACACGGCCCAGACUCCUACGGGGGGCAGCAGUGGGGAAUAUUGCGCAAUGGGCGAAAGCCUGACGCAGCAACGCCGCGUGAGGGAUGACGGCCUUCGGGUUGUAAACCUCUUUCAGCAGGGACGAAGCGAAAGUGACUGUACCUGCAGAAGAAGCGCCGGCUAACUACGUGUCAGCAGCCGCCGUAA
Molecule: ribosomal RNA, 479 nt
Filed under: uncultured bacterium
Lineage: Bacteria
Description: partial 16S ribosomal RNA
Rfam family: Bacterial small subunit ribosomal RNA
Source: RNAcentral